GAGCAAAUUUAAUACAGGAUGCAUAACUUAUAGGAUUAUUUCAUAAUACUCACCUAAAAAGUCAAAUGCAGGGCUGGAGAUUUAGCUCAGUGGUUCCGCCACCUGCCUCGAAAGCGCAAGGACCCGAGUUUGAUCCCCAGCACCAAAAAAAAAAAAAAAAAAAAAGUCAAAUGCAGAGUGUAGGAGAUCUGUCCACAUACUAGAGGCUCGAAGAAUCCAGCAGAGGGCCUGAAUCCUACAGCAAUGUCCCGCACAAGUCCAGCCAGAGGCCUAGAACCCAAGGCAAUGUCCUCCAUAAGUUCAGCUGGAGACCUAGAGCCCAAAGCAAUGUCUAAUGCAAAUCCAUAUCAUGGAUCUGCACUGGGAAGGCCCAAAGGUCGGUGGUGGAAGCUAGAAAGUCUAUGCUGGUGGAGUAAAGGCUCUGUGCCACCAGGCUGAGGGAUGUGCACUGGAGCCAGGAAGUGACACUCAAGAUGAAGACCAGAGCUUCCCUAAGGGGAACAGCAGUCAUUCCAGUGAUAGCGAGGACCCAGGCUCCUCUAAUGAUGAGAACUGAGUUGGCAUUAGGAAAACAAGCUGCAGCAAGCUUCUCCAAGAAAAUCAACAGCAUACAAUCCCCACCCCCCAUUCUUCUCUUAUGCUGUUGACAACAAUCCUCAGCACUCCUUAUUACCUCAGCAUUUGGGCAAUUCAAGAUGAAGAAAGUUAUGUGUUUUUUCCUAAUGUUUACACAAGAAAGAUCAUUGCACUAAAUCUUUAAGGAGGCAGGACCAGUGGAACAGUUUAGAAGAUGCAGAAACAACUCCAGACAUACUCAGCCACCUCAUCUUCGACAAAGGAGCCAAACACCUUCACUGGAGGAAAGAUAGCCUCUUUAAUAAAUGGUGCUGGACAGUUUAUAAUAGCUAAUGCUUGGAAACAGCCCAAGUGCCCAUCAACUGAAAACUGGAUAAAGAAGAUGUGGUUUUAAAAAAUGAAAUGGAGCACUACUCAGCCACAAAGAACAACAAACUAGAGACAUUUAUAGCUAAAUGGAUGGAUAUUGAGGCCAUACUCUUAAGUGAAAUAAAUACGACACACGUGUAAAUACUGAAUAGUUUCUCUAGUGUGAAAUAUUGAAAGUGUAAAUAAGGAUUAAAAUGAUUAAAAUGAAUAAUUGAUAACUUGACAUAGAAAGAAAAGGUCCAAAGGGGUAGGGGUGGUGGGAGCGGAAGGGGAAAGGAAAGAAAGGAAAGGAAAAAUAAUGAGAAAAGAAAAAAAUGGAAACAAAGUCUAUGUAAAUAGGGAAGGGUUGAGAGGGUUAAGGAUGCACAGGUAAUGGGGAAAAAAUAAGAACCAAGAUACAUCAUGCACAGG
This 1356-nucleotide long non-coding RNA is filed under the name Heterocephalus glaber (naked mole-rat). RNAcentral's name for it is "lncRNA (ENSHGLG00100050061.1)". Lineage: Eukaryota; Metazoa; Chordata; Mammalia; Rodentia; Bathyergidae. The record is from RNAcentral.